This 972-nucleotide long non-coding RNA is filed under the name Oncorhynchus kisutch (coho salmon). RNAcentral's name for it is "lncRNA (ENSOKIG00005043042.1)". The record is from RNAcentral. Lineage: Eukaryota; Metazoa; Chordata; Actinopteri; Salmoniformes; Salmonidae.
CAGGGAUGGCAAACAGACAGGUGUAAAGACAGUGUGAAAGGAUGCAGGGAGACUUAAAGUCCGGGUUUAUGUUUUCUCUUUGCAGAAGAUGUAGAGGAGCUGAAUGCUGGAGAGUGAGUGAAGGAGUGAAGCUGAGCCCUGGACGGAGGGAUCUGCUGGAGGAAAGGAGAGAGAGAGUGUCGGCAGAACUGGGCCACAGCAUCCGAGCUGGGAGACCUGAGAGAAGAGAUGGGAGAGGGUGGCUCCGCUGACUGGAGGAGUACCAGCUGGUCUCAAACAGGUUCCUUGGCCUUUGGAAUAACCUCAUUGGAGUUUGGAGGAGUUGCAGACAGAGAGAAAGGCGAGGGAAGAGUGAGGGGGAAGAAAGGGAACGAGAGAAAGAGGGGAAGGUAGUGAGAAACACUGGGUGAGUGACAGGAAGGGAGAGUGAGUGAAGUCCAGAGUGAGAAUGUGAUUGGUAGAGGAAAGGGGGAGGGCUGGAGAUGAGGGAAGAGUGUGUGGGUUUGGUUGAACAAGAGAACUGUAAGUAUCAAGGGUUAAACAGGGGGGAAAACAGUAACUAGCCAAUGGCAAUUGUUGAGAAAUUAGACCUGCCCAUGCAGACCUCAGAUCAGAAGGGAAACAAUUAUAUUUGGUUGCCUUUUUUCAUCCAGUAUUCAUGGCAAAGCUAAACGUUACCCCAAGUAACCAAUUCAUCCUGAAAUGACCUGUGUGGGUGAACCAAAUCUCAGAGAGUGAGAGUGUGUGUGGAUGCGGAUGCGUCAGUGCAUCAUGAUUGAGAUGUGAGGUUCACUGCACUUCUGCACAAUCUCCUUUUAGGACAAGACUUGUGGUCAUACUGACCCAGGUGUGUGCCGAUAACCAAUCAAUGGCCUGGACUUAAGAGUGAUCACAGAGGACGAGAGUGACACGCACACACACACUCCUUGGUCGAUGGGCCCCUGGGCUGACCUGAAAGGCGUCACAUCUGAA